RNAcentral lists this long non-coding RNA (295 nucleotides) under Sus scrofa (pig). Its description in RNAcentral is "lncRNA (ENSSSCG00055025557.1)". Lineage: Eukaryota; Metazoa; Chordata; Mammalia; Artiodactyla; Suidae. The record is from RNAcentral.
UCAGUGAGCAUCCAAGGUCACUCAGGAGUCAAGGGCAGGGCCCAGGCCGGGAACCCAGUGACCUCACGCCAUGCAGCCUGCCUGCAAGCCCGUGUCCUGGACAGCUGGCCUCAACCCCACAGCAAUGCAGAGCCCUGGGUGUGCCAGGCCCAGGGCUGGAAGGAAGAAAGGCCCCCCCGUCCGGAAUAAUGGCUCUUGACAGAAACGACUCCCGCUAGCAAUUAGCCGUGAGGAGUGCAGAACUCGGCUGCAGAAGUAGAGGAAGCUCGCCUGGAGAGGGUGGGCGACAAUCGCA